GGACCUAGAGGGGAACCUUAGCCCUCCGAAGGCAGAGGCCGCAGGUUCGAAUCCUGCCGGGUGCACCA
Molecule: transfer RNA, 68 nt
Filed under: Cohaesibacter sp. ES.047
Lineage: Bacteria; Pseudomonadati; Pseudomonadota; Alphaproteobacteria; Hyphomicrobiales; Cohaesibacteraceae
Description: tRNA_Arg_CCG
Source: RNAcentral